Molecule: non-coding RNA, 977 nt
Organism: Mesocricetus auratus (golden hamster)
Lineage: Eukaryota; Metazoa; Chordata; Mammalia; Rodentia; Cricetidae
Source: the annotation of a RefSeq genome assembly
GAGUUUUUAGCAAGGGUAUGUGACAAGAAUCAGAUAUACAAAACCUUCCACGUUGGUCUUAGCAGCGUGACUGUUUUUCUCCAGCAGACCCUCUCCUCAGACCUAUUUUCAAGUUUCUGCUUUCUUCAGCCACUCUCCUGCCUGUCCUGUUCCAGACAGUUCUCCCACAGAAGAGCUGCAGUAUUCCUGGUGUUCAGCCAUGCUCCUGGUGCUCCUCCCGCUGCUGGGGGUUCACUUUCUCCUGAGAGACUCCAGAGCACAGUCAGUGACUCAGCCUGAAGCUCGCAUCACUGUCACUGAAGGAUCCUCUCUGCAGAUGAGAUGCAACUAUUCCUCCAGUGUGACGACUUAUCUGUUCUGGUAUGUCCAGUACCCACGACAGGGGCUCCAGCUGCUCCUCAAGUAUUAUUCAGGAGACCCCGUGGUUCUCGGCUUGAGUGGCUUUGAGGCUGAGUUUAGCAAGAGCGACUCUUCCUUCCACCUGAAGAAAGCCUCUGUGCACCUGAGCGACUCGGCUGUGUACUUCUGUGCUCUGAGUGCACAGUGUGUGGGGCUGCAGGAGGAGCUGAACAUAAACACCCAUGGCAGUGGAGCGCUCAACUAAAGGUUUCUCCUUGGGUCUUUGAGGGAUGUCUUUCAGUUGCCUUUGCACAACUCUGUUCUUGCAACAAUAUCCACUGUCUGACUUUGUCUCAGAAGCUCUUUGCUUAUUUCCAAAAUUAUCUGAUGCUCAAUUAUAGUUCCGUAGAGUGGAGGAGACUGUUGUUAUCUGUGUGUAGACAUUUCCGGAGUAGACAUUGUUUAGACUACAACUACACUAAGUGACUGAUUGUGUGUGCAGGGAAAUACCAGACACUGUCUUCCGUUUGUCAUUUAUGUCUUGUCUACACAGAAAGUAAAAAUUACCCUUCAGGCUUUGUCCUGAGCUUUACCUUCAAUACUGACUCUUUCAUACUGAUUUUUCUAUAAAUUCUUCU